RNAcentral lists this long non-coding RNA (3727 nucleotides) under Nicotiana tabacum (common tobacco). RNAcentral describes it as "long non-coding RNA (NTAB_LNC006693)". Lineage: Eukaryota; Viridiplantae; Streptophyta; Magnoliopsida; Solanales; Solanaceae. The record is from RNAcentral.
CUUGAGUAUGAUGAAUUAAUUUUGGUAGUAAUAAUUAUAUUUAACCCAUAAAAUUUAUCCUACGCUAUGAAAAUACAUGUCAACAGGAUGAAAAAUACAACAGAAUAUGAAUAUUGAGUACACCUUGGCAUGUGGCUAACACAAUAUUAGGUGAAUCGGUGGAGAAUGCAGCCUGUUGUUCUGCAACUGAUUUUGUUGGAGAAGCAAAAAUAAAUUAACAGAAAGGAUGUGCUCCAAGUUGGUUCAAUAACAAAUAAAAGUCAAUAACAUUAUCCAGACCCCACAAACUUUAAUUUGCAAAAUGUUAGAGCUAAUUCCAGCAAAAUAUGACAUCUGCAAUAUGGAAACAAAAUGCAAAUCUUUUAGUGCCUUUGGAAUUGAGAAUUCAUGAUGAUAAUAAUUUUGAGAAUAAAUUAAAAAAGUUAUUGUUCAGUUCCUUUCUUGAAGUUUAAAGUUGUCACUAUUGAUAUGUUGUCACAUCAGAUUCAAUUUCGCUACGCAGCAUUUCCCUAAUGCGUCUUCUUAUCAGCUGCAUCAAAGAUAAGAAGUUAGCUUCGUGGGUAUCAUCAUCUUCUUUAAAAAUAAAUAAAUCAGCAAACACUUGAUCUAUUUAACUAAAGAGAAAAAAUAAUGUCUUAAAUAUUAACAUGUUAGGAUUUUUUGAUCAAUUCCAAGAACCAAUAUCAUUUACCUUGAGAUUCUUUGAUGUGGUCUACGAUGAGUUUAUAUCUUUGCAUCCGGAGUGCAAUGCAUGGUGAUAGAAGAAUUAUUAUCCCAAUAUAAUGUAGGUGCUUCCUACCAUGAGAAAGCAUAAAGUAGGACGCAAAAAGAAGACAAUUAGGAAGCUAUUGUAGGACUAUAUCUAUUCAAAAUCAGAGGACAUUGUCAAACUCAACUCAACAAUAUAUUAAAAAGAGAAACUCAGCAGUAGCUAUGGCUAAAGUUCUUUCUGAAGCAAUGCGAAUACCAAGCAUACAAAAUUUAUAAGUAUAAAAAUUACCUCUCUUUUUCCCCUUUAGUUCUUUUCUUGUUUUCAUUUUUUCUUACUUUGUUUUCUCCUCCUCUUUUCCAGCCACCUCUUUCACCAUCAGCCAUGCUCCCACUAACAUUGUUCCCUCCACCCAUUUUCUUUUAAUUUUCUUCAAUUUCUUUUAGUUCUUUUCACUUUAUCCCUCAAACCUAGCCUAUCUUUUAAAUUUAUUUUAUCCAUUUGAAACUUUUCACACUCUUUAACAGGAGGUAAAAUACCUUUUUUAAAAGUGCAAAAAAUCAUGAAAAAAGGUUAAGGUUAAGUGUAGAGUUCCACGGAGUAGUUACUUCGUACAGACUGACUAAAUAGUGUAGUGGUACUGAUAUUUAAUAUUAGAUUUGUAUUCACAUAAUAGAAACAUAUAAAAUGGAACAAAUGACUUGGUGACAUCUACUACUGAUCUUACCAAAUUUACCGGAGUGAAAUAAAAGGAACAAAUUAGUGUUUAAUCAUUCAUAUAUCUUCUGAUAUGGUCCGUGAAGAGCUCAAGUCAUGUUGUAUCUAGAGUAAUAUCAUCAUAAUCAUGAGGCUACAAUGAAAUUGAAAGAUUACUGGGCAAUUCUUCCAAUGGAAAAUCCACAUCAAACAGAAACAUUUGAAACAAUAGGCAUGUGCAGAAUAUGAUAAAACUCAUAUAUGCACUUCCAUGAAUUUUUUUCUUUUAUUCAAGGAGUCAAUAUAUCCAUAUUCAUGAAUUCCUUUAUCUUAUCAAAAGUUCCAGACAAAUAAAAACAAAUUUCUAACAUUUUUGUGUUUUAUUUAAAUUUCUCCUAAUUUUACUAUCUUGCACCUCAGGCAAUUUGAAUGAUUUUUCCUACUCAAGCGCUCCAAUUUGAAUGUAGAGGAAACCAAUUCCAAGUUUUCAUAAUAAUAGUCAGAAAAAUCAGAAGGAUUUUAAGAUAGUUGUACUUGAUAAGACUAGCUAAAGAUCUAACUAUAUUAGAGGUUAUUACGAACAUUGUAUCUAAAGAAUUCACAUGAUAAUCAAGCUUCAUAAGCUGAAGUUUGGCUAACCAAUAAUUUUGAACUAAAAAUACUAAACAUGGCUUACCUGUUAUAUAAUCUUGUUGGUGGUUCUAGUUUCAGCAUCACACUUGUAAUUUCAGGUUUUGUAAUUGCUUCUUCCAUUUCUCGUACAAUUGUGCUUGGAAACUUCAUUUCCUUUUGUUUCUUUCACCAGCACUUAUUGGAAACAUAUGUUCCUUUUUCAAUAUAAGAUAAACCCAAUAGUCUAGCAUGCAUGAUGUCAUAAUUUCUCCAGACCAAUUUUUUUAAAUUGAAUUCGAAACAGUUGGUCUGACAAUUGUUCUUGGACAUGCUUAACGCAGAGGAUCUUCAUCUGAAGAUAAAACAAUUUAAGUUCUUUAGAUAUAAAAGAGUAGGAGAAUAAAGCUAAAAAGAGCAUACAUAUAUAAAAAAAAUAAGAAUACUUUGAUUUCUCGAAAGUAUUAAGUACAUCCCUCAAUCGAAAGAUACCAAAGAAUCUCAAAGUAACUAAAGCAAUGCAAAGCCCUGCCCCGCAGAACUUGUUUGACUGCUAAAGUAAGACAGAAAUAUAAAAAAGAAUUGAUUAACCAAUUAAAGAUAAAUAGCAAUCAAACUAUCAUAAUCUACACAUGAAGUAGCCAUGAAUAAUUCCAAAUUUACAGGUACUGAAAUUUUAGUAGAUAAAAUGUAUAAUUGAUUGAAAAUAUACCUUGACGAAAAUUGUCGCGCAGAUUUCUUCAGUUGUCAUUGAGAAUAACUUUUUUCUAAGAUCACUAGAAAUUGUAGCAAUUGUUAUCCCACUUUCAUCUCAGUAAGAUCAAUUUAGAAUAAUCCCUCAUAGGACAACGUAAAAAAUAAUCACUCACAUGAACAAUAUGCCAAUGAGGCUACUUUCUAAACAAGAUCAUUUUAAUACGACUCUGAUCCUUCGAGAAAUUAAAAAAAAUCAAUUAACUCGCAGAAUCAAAUUACAAAAGAAAUUAUGCAGAGUUAAAGAAAGUAAGUUGAUGGUUUCCAAUAAUUGAAUGUCUGGUUCUUCAACAGUAAGCCACUUAAUUACCAAAACAAACUCAAUCCAAACAUCACAAAUAAUAACAUAUAUUAAUAACAUAAAAAUCUCAAUUAAUGUUAUACGCUCACUCAUCAUUCGUUUCUCCCAAAUUCUAGCAGGUCUAAUUAAUAUGUCAAUAAAGAUGGGAAGAAAUCACCCGCAAAAUAAAUCUCCUAAAGAUCACUGAUCAAUGAGCUAAGGAUUGAAUCACCUACAUAAAAUAUAAUUUAGAGACACAAAAUGCAAUCAGGGAAAACGAUCUUCAAUCUCUACUGGACUAAGGAUCAAUAUAUCAGACCAAAUUACUGACAUGCAUGUAGAAAAUCCUACAAUUAACUACCAAAAAGAACUCAAAAAGAGAGAGAGUGUGUGUGUGUGUGAGAGAGAGAGAGAGAGAGAGUCGGAGACUAAUAUAUACCUAGCAGAUAGUGAUUAGCAACUAAAAAGGUACAACAAACAAUAAAACAGAUGUAAGGAAAAACUCACCAAAAUGAAGCUCACACUUUGAAUUAAUGAACACCAGAGAGAGAAUUAAAAAAUAUUUGAGAAACUCCCAAAAAGGAGAAACAGAUCAGUUAGAUGGAGAAUCAGAAUAAAAGGUGAUUGGAUUCGACAAUGACCAUGGUAGAGUAUCAAAAAAGCAAGACGCGUGUUUAUAG